RNAcentral lists this ribosomal RNA (480 nucleotides) under Bacillus sp. B1-14. RNAcentral describes it as "bacterial SSU rRNA". It matches the Rfam family "Bacterial small subunit ribosomal RNA", at positions 21 to 485 of the family's 1533-position model. The record is from RNAcentral. Lineage: Bacteria; Bacillati; Bacillota; Bacilli; Caryophanales; Bacillaceae.
UGCUCAGGACGAACGCUGGCGGCGUGCCUAAUACAUGCAAGUCGAGCGAACUAAUGGGAGCUUGCUCCCAAAGGUUAGCGGCGGACGGGUGAGUAACACGUGGGCAACCUGCCCUGUAGAUCGGGAUAACAUCGAGAAAUCGGUGCUAAUACCGGAUAAUUUCUAGAAUCUCAUGGUUCUAGAAUAAAAGAUGGCUCCGGCUAUCACUACGGGAUGGGCCCGCGGCGCAUUAGCUAGUUGGUAAGGUAACGGCUUACCAAGGCGACGAUGCGUAGCCGACCUGAGAGGGUGAUCGGCCACACUGGGACUGAGACACGGCCCAGACUCCUACGGGAGGCAGCAGUAGGGAAUCUUCCGCAAUGGACGAAAGUCUGACGGAGCAACGCCGCGUGAGUGAUGAAGGAUUUCGGUUCGUAAAGCUCUGUUGUUAGGGAAGAACAAGUGCCGUUCAAAUAGGGCGCACCUUGACGGACCUAACCA